This is a long non-coding RNA of Manis javanica (Malayan pangolin), 352 nucleotides long. RefSeq lists it as uncharacterized. The record is from RefSeq and is a predicted model, not a curated record. Lineage: Eukaryota; Metazoa; Chordata; Mammalia; Pholidota; Manidae.
UGCCUCUCCAGGGCUUACAGCCCAACCCGCUAGUCUUCGGUUUGCCGCCAAUCACUGCACUCACCUCAUUGACCGGCUCGAAAACAGGCCAAUUGACACCACUAGCCCCGCCCCCUACGAAGAAGAGUCCGGCACCAUUACUUGUUCGUGUUCAGAUGCAGCAGCACACUAGUCAUCCUAAGAAAAAAAGGAGUGUGCCGGAAGCUCUGCUUCCCCUCCCUUCAAAGCCAGACCUCCUUAACCACUCAGCGCUUGGGAAAAUGAUUCUAGUUGUACUUUUUCCUGUUACUGGGUUAAUUGGAAAGUAUUUGUAUUUGUUGUGCUUUUCCCAUUAAAAGGGAACAUUGCUGUA